CCAGAGCUCUCCCUGCUGCAGUUUUCUAGUCGCAGUGCGGCAAAGCAGACGCCUAGAACCGGGCACGGAGCAGCAUAGCUUUUAUUAUUUUUUAUUGCAGAGAAACUGUCUCUUUUAAUGUACUGCACAUUUCUGUUUUUUUUAGAGUGCAGGAACAGCAGACCACCUGGGAUGUGGAUGUAGGCUUCUGACAUUAGCAGCGAUGUUGAACUGAGGCAGGCACUGCUCGGAGUCUUUUUUCCUAAAUGCCUCUGAUGGAGAAUGAUUCGCUUUCUGCCUUGCACGCGAACCGUUGCUUGUGCCACUGCGAUAGACACCUGCAAGAACAGGAGAAAGGAGAUGCUACUUGUCACUGCCUGGGGCCUUCCUUCUCUCCCCCUUCUCCUCUUUUUGUUUUUCCUCAGCUCUUCGCUCUUGAAGCCAUCUAAACAUCCCAGAGUAGUAUUUAGUCCUGGUUCUGUAGGUAGCCAAAGAUCAGUCAGAGCAAAAGCUCAAACCAGGCUCCCUGAUCCAGCUCAGUUCCAGUCCUUUUGGAUGGAUACAGGAGAGCAACCGACUAGCAGGGACACAACCAGCCAUCAAGUGGAGCCUCUCUGGGAUUGCAGUCGGUCCCGAGCGCUGCUGACUUCCUUUUACCUUCUCUUUUCCAUCAGCAGCUAUUAAUGGCUUUGGGGUCUCUGAAGUGUAUGUUUGUAUGGAUUAGCCUGUCACGAGGGCACUCCUUGUCCGCGUCAUGUUGGAAAUAGAGUGCUGAAGUCAGUCUGCUUUAACUGUGGUUUGUUUCUGCGUGGUGCUAUGCAGCUGGGAUGGGUUACACUGACAACCAAGGAAGGAUCGCCACAUACCCUGACUCCUGGGAUCUUUCAGGAAAAAUAUAACUCUUUCUCAGUAUAUUAUGCUUUUUGUCUUCUGCUUUUUCUUUUAUAUGCAGCUUUAGAUAUAAGUACCAAAUAUAUAUAGACUUAUAUAUACUAUAUAUAGUAUAUAUAGGUCUACUAGGCAUCUGUGUGGAUGUGAAUUUCAAAAUGCUGUGGGGUGGAGGGUAGAUAGUUUGUGGAGAACUGUGAUUUGAGGCAAGUUGCACCCGGUCUGCAUUCUUGCUGAUUUGAAAUACUCUGUUUUUGCGAAAAGGAAGCCCUAAGGGGCGAGUUCAGUAACUAAGAAAGCAAUUGCAGAUAAAAGAAAUAAAAAUGACAAGCAUAAUGGAGGCGCAGCAGAAGAAACUGUCAGUGAAAUCAGUGCCUGGAUGGUAAUCUUACCCAGUCUGAAUAAUUAUGAAUAAUUCAUAGAACAAAAUUACUUUGCUUUCACCUUUUCCACUUAAAAUGGCAUGAUAUGAAUCUCUAAUAAAUUUUCAAGAAAAAAAUAUAAUGCCAACUUGAAUCUGAAGAGCUUUUUACAACCAGAUGCUAUAUUCUGAUUCUUCCGGUAUCUUUCACAGUGAUUCUGUGAGAACCCUACUUAAUCACGAAGUACUGUUACGAAUGAAAAUUACAGUGAUUACAAUAGCAACAAUAGAGUGCCAUCAAAUGAUUUCUAAUAUACCUAAUUUUCUAAAGCUGGCUGCAUUGGUUUUCAUGAGCAAAUCUAAAUGCUUGGCUCCUUGGAUUUUAUAUCAGAAUGUGAUAAAAAAAAUGCUUGUUAAAUAUGCGUUGUGUUUAGUGCUUUUAUGGGGAAAAUGCAGCCUUAUAUUAAAAUGAUUAUAGCCAUAUAUUUGUUUUGCUAGCAUUCUUGAUGAUUGCAUUAUUUUCCUGUUCAUAGGAUGGUGUUUUGUUACAGAUUUGUUCAUACCAUAAUGUUCCAGGACUUAUACAACAGCAAAUUUAGCUGAAUAAUUUGUACAGCUAUAAAAGAAGAAAUUGCAGGAUGGAGAAACACUGUCAAACUGCAGAAUGUACAAGGUAAGUUUGGGAGGGGGUAAGGCAGGGGUGAAAUCCUCCCGGUUCGGACUGGAUUGGGCGAUCCAAUAGCGAUUGUGGCAGGUGGUUCGGAGAACCGGUAGUGAUGGCGGCGUGAGGCUCCUCCUACCUGCCCGGGUGUCCUGGUUUUAACCAGGAAGUAAUGUUUUUUUACCCUCUGUGCAUACACAGAAGGUUUUGCGCAUGCGCAGAGGGUCUGUGUGUGCAUGUGACACAUGCAUGCAUGGAGUGCGUGCACUUCCGAGCUGGUAAGGAAAGUAAGUAGAUUUCACCCCUGGGGUAAGGGGUAGAUGUUUUUUUUUUAUUAUUGAAAAGUUUUACAAAAAACAAAAAUUUUCUUCCCCCCCAUAUUCCCCCCACUCUUUCCCUCCCCUCAUCCCACCCUCCCCCCUGGGGGUAGAUGUUAUUGAAAGUUUGUUGAUACAAAACAAAAGGAAAAAAGGAAACCAAAACAACAAUAUUAAUUAUAAUUUAAAUGUUUAAAAUGUUGCAUACUCUCAUGGCUCUUUGCUGUAAUUGCAAAGGGUAUUCUGAAAAUUAAAUUCAUAAUUAUGCAUUUAGAGAACAUGAAGAUAGAUUGAUGUGGGCAGUUGUUAGAGUCAGCAAUGAAUGCCAUACAUGGGUUACCUAUAUACAUGUAAAUUGCUAUGCUUUGCCUGUAAAAUCGUUCAAAACCCAUUACUUCAGCUUUAGGCUAGAUGCGGACAAGAGGAGAGAAACAGGUAGCUUUCUGAAUUAGACUUUUCUCAGUAGUAACCAUUUCAGUAGCAUAAACACAAAUAGGAGUAACAACAGAGUUUUAUAUAGUCCUAUAUUUUUAUAGGAUUUCAAUUAAGUUACCACACUGUAAAAUGCUACUAAUUCAAGACAGUCAUGUAAGAUGAAAUAACAUGGACGGUUCCUAUAUAUGCCUAUAUUUUGCUACAUAUGUUCUUAUGUUCCUGUAUCAAUACCAGGCAGCCUAGCAAAUAGACAAUCAAUGAAGAAAAAAGAUGUGGUAUGAUUCGAUCCAGAAAAGAUGGGAGAGAGACGAAGGAUAUUGCUGGAUUAUAAUUAUAGAUGAUGGUAUAAUUAUGGUAAUCAAUAAGUAUUGGAAAUGUAAAUUUGUAUAUAAGAAUCUAUAAAUAUUUUCUAUUUUUACUUUCUGAUUAUUGGUGUAUAUAUACAUGGAUAUUUUGGUGAUGUUACACCGUGAUAAAAAAACUAUUAUACAUU
This is a long non-coding RNA of Pantherophis guttatus, 3134 nucleotides long. RefSeq lists it as uncharacterized. Lineage: Eukaryota; Metazoa; Chordata; Lepidosauria; Squamata; Colubridae. The record is from RefSeq and is a predicted model, not a curated record.